GUAAGACAGAUGGUCGCUGCCGCAGAGCCGAAAGGCUGCGGGAGAGGAAAGUCCGGGCUUCACAGGGCAGGGUGCCAGAUAACGUCUGGCGGAGGCGACUCCAGGGACAGUGCAACAGAAAUAUACCGCCGGUCCUUGACCGGUAAGGGUGGAAGGGCAGUGUAAGAGACUACCGCCCGGCUGGUAACAGGCGGGGCAUAUGUAAACCCCAUUCGAAGCAAGACCGAACAGAAAGCAUAAGGCGGCCCGUCUGCUUUCGGGUAGGUCGCUUGAGCCAGGUGGUGACAUCUGGCCUAGAUAGAUGACCAUCCAACGACAUAACCCGGCUUAUCGUCUUGCUCCU
This 343-nucleotide RNase P RNA is filed under the name human gut metagenome. RNAcentral describes it as "Bacterial RNase P class A". It matches the Rfam family "Bacterial RNase P class A". From Rfam's summary of the family: Ribonuclease P (RNase P) is a ubiquitous endoribonuclease, found in archaea, bacteria and eukarya as well as chloroplasts and mitochondria. Its best characterised activity is the generation of mature 5'-ends of tRNAs by cleaving the 5'-leader elements of precursor-tRNAs. Cellular RNase Ps are ribonucleoproteins. The record is from RNAcentral.